GGCUUUGCCUGCUAUCUCUUACCCAUGUCUUUUGAGUACCUUACGUUUCCUCGGUGGGUUCGCCCACCGAUUGGACAAAUUUAAACCCUUUGCAGUUGAAAUCAGCGUCUGAAAAAACUUAAUAGUUACAACUUUCAACAACGGAUCUCUUGGUUCUGGCAUCGAUGAAGAACGCAGCGAAAUGCGAUAAGUAGUGUGAAUUGCAGAAUUCAGUGAAUCAUCGAAUCUUUGAACGCACAUUGCGCCCCUUGGUAUUCCAUGGGGCAUGCCUGUUCGAGCGUCAUUUGUACCUUCAAGCUCUGCUUGGUGUUGGGUGUUUGUCUCCUGUAGACUCGCCUUAAAACAAUUGGCAGCCGGCGUAUUGAUUUCGGAGCGCAGUACAUCUCGCGCUUUGCACUCAUAACGACGACAUCCAAAAGUACAUUUUUACACUCUUGACCUCGGAUCAGGUAGGGAUACCCGCUGAACUUAAGCAUAUCAAUAAGCGGAGGAA
Molecule: ribosomal RNA, 493 nt
Filed under: Phoma herbarum
Lineage: Eukaryota; Fungi; Ascomycota; Dothideomycetes; Pleosporales; Didymellaceae
Description: eukaryotic LSU rRNA
Rfam family: 5.8S ribosomal RNA (bases 130-283)
Source: RNAcentral